Molecule: RNA transcript, 8575 nt
Organism: Pogoniulus pusillus (Red-fronted tinkerbird)
Lineage: Eukaryota; Metazoa; Chordata; Aves; Piciformes; Lybiidae
Gene: SLC44A1
Gene name: solute carrier family 44 member 1
Exons: 17
Source: RefSeq, a predicted model, not a curated record
UGAGGGGGCGCCGUGGCGGGGCUGGUGCUGCAGCCGCGCUUGUCUGAUCGGGCCCGGCGGUUUCCCGGCGGUCCUCCGCACCGCGUCUCACCGCCGCCCCGGGGCGGGCUGUCGCGGCGAGUGGAUGUCCAGCGUCUGCCUUUCGCCGCCGCCGCCUGGCGCCUAGCGGGCACCGCCAGGUCAGAGACCCGCGGACGCCAUGGGCUGCUGCAGCUCCACCGCGCAGAGCUCUAAGCGAGAGUGGAAACCUCUAGAGGACCACAGCUGCACGGAUGUUCCAUGGCUGCUCUUGUUCAUCCUCUUCUGCAUAGGAAUGGGUUUUAUCUGCGGCUUUUCAAUAGCUACAGGAGCAGCUGCAAGACUGCUUUCAGGAUAUGACAGUUACGGAAAUAUUUGUGGACAAAAAAAUAUCAAGGUGGAGGGAAUAGUCAACAGUGGUCUGGACCUCACACACAAGAAAUAUGUGUUCUUCUUGGAUCCGUGCAACAUUGAUAUAGUACAUCAGAGGAUCAAGUCUCUUGCUUUGUGUGUAUCAGCUUGCCCAAGGAAAGAACUAAAAACUCUGGCUGAUAUCCAGAAAUUUGCAGAAACGAAUGGAUCCACUCUGUGUAGCUAUGAACUAACACCUUCAGAAUACACCACAGACCCAAGAGCUGCCAAGUUGUGUCCUAAAUACCCUGUUCCAGAGAGUGCACCUAUUCCAUUCUUCCAUCGCUGUGCUCCUGUGAACAUUUCCUGCUAUGCCAAGUUUGCAGAGGCCCUGAUCACCUUUGUCAGUGACAGUAGUGUCUUACACAGGCUGAUUAGUGGAGUUAUGACCAGCAAAGAGAUUAUAAUGGGACUUUGCUUGUUAUCACUAGUGCUGUCCAUGAUUCUGAUGGUUAUAAUCAGGUACAUUUCAAGAGUACUUGUCUGGAUUUUAACAAUUCUUGUCAUUCUGGGAUCACUUGGUGGUACAGGAGUCCUGUGGUGGCUGUAUGCAAAGCAACGAGUAUCUGUUGGUGUCGUUGAGACUCAAAUAGCCAAAGACAAUCUUCAGGCUCUCCUGGUCUAUGCCAUUUCAGCCACAGUCUUCACGGUUAUCCUGUUCUUAAUCAUGUUAAUUAUGCGCAAACGAGUAGCUCUCACCAUUGCGUUGUUCCACGUGGCUGGCAAGGUCUUCAUCCACCUGCCGCUGCUAGUCUUCCAGCCCUUUUGGACAUUCUUUGUGCUUGUCCUCUUCUGGGCAUACUGGAUCACAGUGCUGCUUUUUCUUGGUACUACAGGUAGUCCUGUCCCAAAUGAAGAAGGAUUUGUUGAAUUUCGGAUGGUAGGCCCUUUGAAAUACAUGUGGUGGUACCAUGUAGUAGGACUCAUCUGGAUCAGCGAGUUUAUCUUAGCCUGUCAGCAGAUGACAGUAGCAGGGGCUGUUGUGACAUACUAUUUUACAAGGGAGAAAAAGAAUUUGCCAUUUACUCCUAUUCUGGCAUCUGUUAAUCGCCUCGUUUGUUACCACCUGGGAACGGUAGCAAAGGGGUCUUUCAUUAUCACACUAGUAAAGAUACCACGAAUGAUUCUUAUGUAUAUUCAUUCACAGUUAAAAGGAAAGGAAAAUGCUUGUGCUCGUUGUAUGCUUAAAGCCUGCAUCUGCUGCCUUUGGUGUCUAGAAAAGUGCCUGACCUACUUAAAUCAGAAUGCAUAUACAGCCACAGCUAUCAACAGCACCAACUUCUGCACCUCAGCAAAGGAUGCCUUUGUUAUUCUGGUGGAAAAUGCUUUGCGAGUGGCUGCCAUAAACACAGUUGGGGAUUUUAUGCUGUUUCUAGGAAAGGUCCUGAUUGUUUGCAGUACAGGUUUGGCUGGGAUUAUGUUGCUGAAUUACCAACGAGAUUACACCAUCUGGGUGCUGCCACUCAUCAUUGUCUGCCUCUUUGCAUUCCUGGUUGCUCACUGCUUCCUUUCCAUUUAUGAAAUGGUUGUUGAUGUCCUUUUCUUAUGUUUUGCCAUCGAUACAAAAUACAAUGAUGGGAGCCCUGGGAGGGAAUUCUACAUGGAUAAAGUUCUCAUGGAGUUUGUGGAGAAUAGUAGGAAAUCUAUGAAAGAAGCUGGCCGAGGAGGUGGAGCUGAGGGCAGAGAGCUGAAACCAAUGCCUGUUUUACUUAUGGUGUGGCUGUUAGGAAGGCGUUGCAUGUCUGAGUAGCCUGGAAUAAAGAACAGCUGUACAUGGUACAGAUAACAGAUAGGAGGAUGAGUUUGGAAGGUGGAGAACUGAGAGCAUAUGAUGGAGAGCCAGGCUGGGCAAGGCCUCUGGAGCAAGUUCAUCUUGAAACUAGCCAGCCAUAUUGGAACCCAUUGACAUUCCAAAACAGUAUAUAUAUAUAUAUACAUAUAUACAUAUAUAUAUAUUAAAAAAAUAUAUAUAAAUAAACAGCCAAAAUCAGAGAAAAGGAACAGGGAUUUAAUACUUUUUUUAACAAUUAUUUUUGUGAAACAUGUACUCUUUUCAUACGGGUGGCUUUUACAAGCAGCUUUAUCAUUGUUCCAUUUUUUUUAAUUAUUCAUUGUGGUCAUGGAAAUGUUGAUUCUUACCUGCUUGGUAUUUUACAGUCUGGAGGAAGUGUCGUUGUAAAGAUAAUCUGAGGUGGUGAAUGAGUUCAAAGAUGGAUUUCCCAUGACACUGAUGAUCUGUUUAGAGUUUCACUUGUUUAGUUCGUUUAAGUUCACAUUAAAUUCAUGGCAGUGACAUGUGAGGAAAACUUUUGAAUCAAGAAAUGUCUCAAAUUUAAUUUUUCCAGGAGUGAUUUCAGUGAGAGUUCAUUCAGUUUGACUGGGUUUGUAAGCAGUCAUUUUACCUUGUAGCCCUACCAGGGCACAGUUUUGUUUAUCGGUAUGAGAUAUCACAAUAACCAACUCCUCAGGUAUUCAGAAGUGUGGGAGCCCUUGCAUCUGCUGUUAAAGAGAAGCUAAAAAAUGGGGACAGAUAAUUUUUAUAUGCAAUUAGCUUCCUGGUUUACCCACUUAGCGCUCAUACGCAUUGCCCUCUAUCCUCCCUUUUGAGUUCAGUAGCCUCAUUCACACUUCAGCAGUGCUUCUUCGAAGGGUGUGGAUUCUCCAUGUGAGCAAUUGGAAUAACAAGUCAUUAAAGCUCAGUCUUAGCCAUACUCAUGAUUAAUUCAUAACUAAAUACAAAGAUGCUGAGGGUGGGAAGAGAAACUAACCGCACUACUGUAUGCUUCAUUUCAUUUAAUGCCUUGAAAGUGGAAGGGACCAUUCCUCACCUCUUGCUUCAUCCAUAUUUGUGUGUACUGCAGUGUGUGGCUAGAACAGGAAAGGGCAGAGAAGCAUUUAUUUGGAAGUGUAACUGCCAGGAGAGUUAUAUAAACUUAUCAAUUAAUGAGAAGAGAACAUGCUUUUUAAAAUUAUUAUUAUUAUUAUUGUUAGAUACUUAUAUUUCUUUUCUGUCUGGAAGUUCACCAGAUAUGAAUGCUAAUACUCAGUUGUUCAGCAUAUUGUAAUGGUAAUUGCUUAGGAGAGUAUUUGCUAAGAAUUCAUGAUCUGUCUAUGCUAUAUACUCCUUUUGUUACAAUUUUUUUAAAGAAGCUAUUUUUGUUAAUGUAAAGUUAAUAUUUCAGAGCAGACUUUUUAAACUUAUUGCACUAAAUACAAGCUCUGUACAAAUAAAUAAUGCCUCAAUGGUUCUAUCACUCCAUUCAAGAACACCUUUUGAAAGAGAAAAGCCCUUCUACAAAGCUUUGUGAUGGAGUGGAAGAGGUACAUCCAGGUGGAAACUUGCACAACUGAUGUUAUCAAGGUCUAGUAAGUAAGCGGUUAUCUGUGCUUCCUUUCAGAGGAUCAGACUUCUAAACUGCUGUUGAAGGUUUAAAAAAAUACAUAGUAUCAUGUAGCUAACCAGUGCUCUGACCUUUUUGCAGCAGUGAAGUACUUCGCUUCUGCUUCUAGAAGUCAUCUGAUAAAUAUGUUUAGUUUCCUUUUAGUAAGCCAAUUAAAAGGAUUUACUCUUUUCAUGUCACCGAGUCCAAACUCUAUGGAAGGUAUGAAAGUAAAGAUACAUUUAGAAACGAUAGCUGAUAGGGAGUCAGGGAGACAGAAUUAUACAGUCCUGCAAGCACUUAGACGCUCAUGCCAGUGAGCCAUAUCAGUAAGUAAUUGGUAUGGCACUAAAUGCGUCCAUGUAGGAGAUAACUGGACUGGAGCUUCCACCUCGGGAGUAAAACUGGAGCACUGGUGAGGCCUCUCAGUGAAAUUUAGAGGUCAAACUGUCUAGAAGAAGCACUGGAGCAGCCUUUAGUUGGUGGAGAGGAGGCAUUCCUACUCUUCCAGUGUCUAAGACGGCAGUGGCACCGAACGAUGAUAUUCAUGUAGAUCAGUGGGGUUUAGCAACAGAAACUUAAAACUGGCCGAGAUUAACUCUAUAAACUGGACUGCAAGGCUAAGAGACUUACCAUUAUAUCCAGCUGCUUUCAGAGAAACUUAAUUUCCAUCUUGUGAGGAAGUUAUUGGAGGUGCUUUGGAAGCCUUGCAUUCUGGUCAUUUUGACAACAAAUUUCUGCCAUGACCAGUUCCACAAGUUUGUGUUCUCUGGUGUUUGGAAGUCCUGAGUGGGGGCUUUUCUCUGUAAUUGCAACUAGGACUGCAGUUGGAAACAAAUUUUGUAUUUUUGUAUGACUUGACUGUGCACCAUUUUUAUAGCAGUUUAUCCUGUUUUAAAAAUAAAUUUGUUUUACUUACAUGGUGUUUAGAAGAUACAGGCAACACUUUUCUAUGGGUAGUUGUAAUGUUUAAGUGAGAAAACUAUAUCAUUACAAAGUUCUUAAUAAAAAUUGUGUGCACCAUACUUGAGUGUAUAUCUAGCAUGCAGAGUUUCUCGGUCAUGCCCAAAAGGCAUUCUGUCUACACACAGGCUUUCCAGUGCCCCUUUAAAGCUUUUGAAUGUCCUUUGAAGUUCAUUUACAACCAGACUACAAACUGCCCUCUUCCAGCACUGUCUUGUGCAAGGAGAUAAGGACAAGACUGAAUUCUGAAGAGACAACUUUUCAGGACAGAUUUAGACUCUGUUUUCCUUCCCCAGUGGGGAUAGUGGAGUAGGGAAAUGCUUGAUGUGUAAAUCCCUAGUUGGCAGUAGAGGUGCUGGGGUCUGCCAGUUGUGAUGGAUUAACUAACUUCUAUUUUGCCAGUUGGCUGUUAAAGCCAAUGCUUUGUGGGAAGCAGUCUAGACUAACUAGAGAGUGAUGCUGCACUGGGAAUAAUGCUGCAGAAGAGACAGCUGAAACAGAGAAUUCAUCUGCUUGGAAAGUCCACUGAGCCAAGUAGUACUUGAGGACUGGAGAUUCAGGCUGGACAAUGUGGAUUUAAAAACCAAGCCAAUGGGAUUACUGGUUCCCAGCUUUUGGUUUCUGUAGGCUGUCUGUCAUAGCCCCUAACCAGCUAGGUUUCAAAGGAAGAAAUCAUGCCAUUCAAUAAAUGGUUUCCUUUUUUUCCCCCACUGUAUUACUCUGUUUUAUUUGUAAGCUGAGCAGCAGUGUGUUGUCUUUAUUGCUUCUCCCAGCCCUAGAUAUUUUUUUUUUUGUUCUUUUUGGCUCUCAUUCCUGUAUUGCUUUUUCAGCAAAGGAGUGCCAAGCUACAGAGUGUCCUCCUUGUCCCACCAGUCAUAGCACAUACCAUCUCACACAUCUUGUCACCUUCCUGAGGCAAUGACUUAAGAUCUAUGAUGAGGAUUAUUUUUUGUGUUUGGGUAUUUUUUGGGGUUUUGUUUUGUGGGGUUUUGGUUUUGUUUUGGUGGUUUUUUUUUCGCAUGAUACCACUCUGUUACUGCUGUGAUUAGGAGUGCAACUGUACAGUUUCAGUGCUGCUCCACAGCUAGACUAAAGAUAUGGUAUCGUCAGCUUAGAAUUGCAUCUUCAGCAUUCCAGUAACUCACAUUCACACUCCCAGCUGCCAAAACCAGGAUGGGGUUUUACAUUCAGCCUUAGCUUAGAAUGGAAACCCAAGGGCUUUCUGCAUUAGGAAAGCAAGUCCUGGUAAGGAAAACUUCAACUGGGAAACCCAGUUACACAUUGUGGAGAGUUAACCCUGACUGGCACGCAAAUCCCUACUCUUGUUGUGCUAAGUUCCUUCCUCCAGCAAGAUAUGAGAGAGGAUUGGAAGGACAAAAGCACUGAGAUAAAGACAGAGAAUUAAGUAAAGGGGAAAAAAAGAAACCCAAACUGAUGCAAAGGUACUCACCACCUCCCACCAUUUUUGUUGCUGAGCAUGACACUAUGUUUGGAAUGGUUUUUUGGUCUGUUCAGGUCAGGUGUCCAGACUGUGCCCUCCUCCUCUUUUGCCCAACCCCAGCCUGCUCUGCUGGGGUGGUGGAGUGAGAAACAGAGAAAGCACUACUCAGUAACCAGUAAAACCUUGUGUUAUCAAUACUGUUUUGGUUGCAAGUCUAAAACACAGAACCAUUUGGGCUGCUGUGAAUAAAAUGAACUCCACCCCAGCCUAACCCAGUACACAGGUCCACUUACCCCAGACUCCUUGCAUUUCUGUACAGCACCUUCUCAGGGUGGUUACUUCUUUCUGAAAGGGCUUUUUUUGCAGCAGGCAGUUAGCCAGCUUCACAGUGCUCCCUUUCAUGGAGGGAACAGGGGAUGCUAGCUCUUACUCUUUCAGCACAAAAUGGGGAUAUAAAGCAAAAAUGAGCCCUUUCUGUAUCAGUGUUCUGGCAACUGAGCAGCCAGUGUUGGAGACAACAUAUUUAAUGUGCCCUCAGGGCAUGCACUUUAGCAGUUUGCUCUGAGUGGUUAUGAUGUAUUCUGUGAAUGUAUGUUAUAGAGUCAGAAUAAAAAUGCAUGUAGCAGACAUAUUCUCAUUGUCACCAUCCAGUGAUCAUUUUGUUCUGAGCGCGUAUUAUAUGCUGUAUUGAACAUGGCACGGUCAUUUUAAGAAACACUUAAGAUUUAAAAGUAGAUACCUAACAGCUUCCCUGUUUUUUAAAUCAUGGCUUUGCCUGUGCAGAUACUGUUUACUAAAUCUAAACAUGACUAGUCCAUUGUUUCUUGAACAGCUUGUGUAUCACAUUACUACCACAGAAAUCCCAUUUCAUCUUUGUGAAAAAACAAAGAACACACACACAAAAAACCCAAAUGAAAAAUACAACCCACCAAAACCCAAAACAAGACCCUUGUGUUUCCCAGAAGAAAACCCAACCGACCUAUUUGAAGCAUUUCUUGCACAGAGUUCAUUUGUUGGAGCGAUGGGAGUUAAAGUAUUUAAUUUUAAAAUGCUCUUUAGAUUAUCUAAUCUCUGCUGUUAUUUCCAUCACACACCAAGAGAUUAUGGAGACUAGUAAAUUUGUAUUUCUUGUGUUCUGUAACAAGUACCGUUCUCAAAGGUAUUACUUUAUGUAUAGAGAGAUGAGAGAAGGGGUAUCUCUUGUGAUGUGGGUCGUGUAUAAAAGACAGAAUUUCUGGUCUGGAAUGAAGCUGUGAUGUGUCUGCAAGCUGAUGCAAUCAAGCCAAAGCUCUUCAAAGACAUUAGGACUAAGAGAAUAUUCGUAGGGACAACAGGCAGCACAAAUACAUCUAAAAAUACCCACUGUGGGGCAAAGCUAUCUGGCAUUCAUUGGACUGACGUGUUUAAAAAGAACUAGCAGAAGCUGAUGACUCCUGAAACCCAGCAGAAGUUGGGCACUAAAUGGAGUUCCUGUGAAAUUAGUAAUUUUAAACUCUCAAAUAAGUACUAUGAGCCUUGGUUAGGUCCCACACUGCUCAAACUGAAGAGGGAGAGCAGCUCCCAUUAGAAAAAAGGGUCACAGACAGUGUGAUAGUAGUGUCUCCUAUGAGAGGGAGGAAGGAGAAAGUGGAAAGGCUGUUUUGUUUCUAAUGUAGGCCAGAAAGCAGCUGCCAGAGGUUAGGUGGAGCUAUGGAGAGCAGGCUUGCACGGGUAGAAAAUAACUCACAAGGUCUUUGCAAGUAGUUAAGAAAAUUCAUAUUCUCAUUCACAGACAUCUCACAGCAACAUCCCAUGUUUUAAUUUUGCUCUGGAGAUCUUCAGAGCAAGAAAAAAAAGGUGAAAUUCUGUACCUAUAGAAAGGAUUCUUUCAAUAUGAUGUAUUGUGUUGCUGAUGAUAGCAGCUGCCCAAAGCAAAGAAAAUAAAAUCUUUUGAACAGAUUUUAAAGGCUUGACAGUAUUUGCAUUGUCAUAGUCCAUCAAAGCUUCAUCUGGAAAUAAGUUUUUCAUCCUCUUUUCAUUCAUACUUCUAACAGGGCAAUCAAACCCUUGGACUGGCUUAGUGUUUUACAUUGAACCAAGAUCAACUAACAAGUGCUCCUUUUUCCAGUGGAAUGCCACCUCCUUUGGGAAAUGGGAAAAGUAAUUGUGACACUGUUUAUUGUUGUCUUGAGAACGUGAGAUGUUCCAUACUGCAAGCUGUGUAUGCAGGAAGAGAAGGGAAAUUAACAGUGCUGAUCUAAUCUUAGAUUUUCUGUGUAAACUGACAUUGUGCCAGGAUACUGAUGCAAAACUGUAUUUUAGUCUAAGAAAUGUAUAGAUUUUUUAAUGUAUCAAAAUAAAGUUUUUCUUUUUAAGUAAGAAA